GAGUUUGAUCGUGGCUCAGAUUGAACGCUGGCGGCAUGCCUUACACAUGCAAGUCGAACGGCAGCAUGAUCUAGCUUGCUAGAUUGAUGGCGAGUGGCGAACGGGUGAGUAAUACAUCGGAACGUGCCCUGUAGUGGGGGAUAACUAGUCGAAAGAUUAGCUAAUACCGCAUACGACCUGAGGGUGAAAGUGGGGGACCGCAAGGCCUCAUGCUAUAGGAGCGGCGAUGUCUGAUUAGCUAGUUGGUGGGGUAAAGGCCCACCAAGGCGACGAUCAGUAGCUGGUCUGAGAGGACGAUCAGCCACACUGGGACUGAGACACGGCCCAGACUCCUACGGGAGGCAGCAGUGGGGAAUUUUGGACAAUGGGCGAAAGCCUGAUCCAGCAAUGCCGCGUGUGUGAAGAAGGCCUCGGUUGUAAG
This 421-nucleotide ribosomal RNA is filed under the name uncultured microorganism. Its description in RNAcentral is "bacterial SSU rRNA". It matches the Rfam family "Bacterial small subunit ribosomal RNA", at positions 9 to 429 of the family's 1533-position model. The record is from RNAcentral.